RNAcentral lists this long non-coding RNA (489 nucleotides) under Nicotiana benthamiana. RNAcentral's name for it is "long non-coding RNA (NBEN_LNC008184)". Lineage: Eukaryota; Viridiplantae; Streptophyta; Magnoliopsida; Solanales; Solanaceae. The record is from RNAcentral.
UUGAGAGAUUACUCUCAAAAUGACCUGACUAUCGGAGAGUCCAACUUAAGUUGCAAAGGGACUUAUAUGUCCACCUUAAGAUUGGAAAUUUAUAGUUUCGUUUUAAGGACAAACCCUCGAAGAGGCCAACAUAAGGUUCAAAGGAACUUAUAUGUCCACCUUAAGAUUGGAAAGUUAUAUAGCUUCAACUCGAAGACUUCAUGGACUUAAUGAUGUCGACUUAAACACUUGAAAAACUUUGAAGAUUUGGCAGACUUUGCACAUUUCAACUUAAAGACCGACAAACUUGAAAAUUCGGCAGACUUUGACGUUUCAACAUGAAAAAUUUGAGGGCUCAAAUACUUCCACUUAGAAGACUGACGAGUUUGAGGACCUCAACUUGAAGACUUCAACUUGUGACUUGGAGGGCUUGAGUAUUUCAACUUGAAGAGUGGCGAACGUGAAGACUUCAAUUUGAAGACUGACGGACUUGAAGAUUUCAACUUGGAG